This 87-nucleotide non-coding RNA is filed under the name Pseudomonas tolaasii NCPPB 2192. Lineage: Bacteria; Pseudomonadati; Pseudomonadota; Gammaproteobacteria; Pseudomonadales; Pseudomonadaceae. The record is from RNAcentral.
UGUGGGAGCUGGCUUGCCUGCGAUGGCCUCACCCCGGUGCUCCAGAUGUACCGUGGUGAUGCCAUCGCAGGCAAGCCAGCUCCCACA